GUCUAAGGCCAUACCACCCUCAACACACCCGAUCUCAUCUGAUCUCGGAAGCUAAGCAGGGUCGGGCCUGGUUAGUACUUGGAUGGGAGAAGAAAUCAGCUAUUGGGCU
RNAcentral lists this ribosomal RNA (109 nucleotides) under Erinaceus europaeus (western European hedgehog). The record is from RNAcentral. Lineage: Eukaryota; Metazoa; Chordata; Mammalia; Eulipotyphla; Erinaceidae.